AGUUUUAUUUAUGGCUAAAUAAGAGUGCACUGUCACUAACACAACUACUAUUUCUCUUGGUCUUAGUGGCAUUUAUUUUCAACUGGAUUGGAUUUUGUUUAUCCUUCUGUAUAACUAACACCAUAGCAGGAAGGUAUGGUGCAAUCUGUGGAUUUGGCCUAUCGCUGAUCAAAUGGAUUCUCAUUGUACGGUUCUCAGACUACUUUACUGGAUAUUUCAAUGGACAGUACUGGCUUUGGUGGAUAUUUCUUGUACUUGGUCUCCUCCUGUUCUUCCGAGGGUUUGUCAAUUACCUUAAAGUCAGAAACAUGUCUGAAAGCAUGGCAGCUGCUCAUAGAACAAGAUUUUUCUUCUUGUAUUAGAGAUUGGCUGCAGGAUCAGUAUGAAGUAACCAGCAACACAGUAUUGGAAGUCUGGGGGAAUAAAAACUGAGACACUUAGUCUAGAAAUGAUGGGUCUUUUAUUUAAGAUGGUGAC
Molecule: long non-coding RNA, 477 nt
Filed under: Gopherus agassizii (Agassiz's desert tortoise)
Lineage: Eukaryota; Metazoa; Chordata; Testudines; Testudinidae
Description: lncRNA (ENSGAGG00000023086.1)
Source: RNAcentral